GACGAACCACACAAACGUUAUUCGGAAUUACUGGGCUUAAAGGGUGCGUAGGCUGCGCAGAAAGUUGGGUGUGAAAUCCCUCGGCUCAACCGAGGAACUGCGCCCAAUACUACUGUGCUCGAGGGAGACAGAGGUGAGCGGAACUUAGGGUGGAGCGGUGAAAUGCGUAGAUAUCGUAAGGAAGACCAGUGGCGAAGGCGGGUCUCUGGACAGUUCCUGACGCUGAGGCACGAAGGUCAGGGGAGCAAACGGG
Molecule: ribosomal RNA, 253 nt
Filed under: uncultured bacterium
Lineage: Bacteria
Description: partial 16S ribosomal RNA
Rfam family: Bacterial small subunit ribosomal RNA
Source: RNAcentral